RNAcentral lists this ribosomal RNA (494 nucleotides) under uncultured bacterium. RNAcentral describes it as "partial 16S ribosomal RNA". It matches the Rfam family "Bacterial small subunit ribosomal RNA", at positions 28 to 507 of the family's 1533-position model. The record is from RNAcentral.
GACGAACGCUGGCGGCGUGCUUAACACAUGCAAGUCGAACGGUGAAGCGCCUUCCUUUUUGGUGGGUGUGGAUGAGUGGCGAACGGGUGAGUAACACGUGAGUAACCUGCCCCCUUCUUCUGGAUAACCGCAUGAAAGUGUGGCUAAUACGGGAUAUUCUGGGUCUGUCGCAUGAUGGGUCUGGGAAAGAUAUUGUUUCGGUGGGGGAUGGGCUCGCGGCCUAUCAGCUUGUUGGUGGGGUGAUGGCCUACCAAGGCGGUGACGGGUAGCCGGCCUGGGAGGGUGGACGGUCACACUGGGACUGAGACACGGCCCAGACUCCGACGGGAGGCAGCAGUGGGGAAUAUUGCACAAUGGGCGCAAGCAUGAUGCAGCGACGCCGCGUGAGGGAUGGAGGCCUUCGGGUUGUGAACCUCUUUCGCCAGUGAAGCAGGCCUGCCUCGUUUGUGGGUGGGUUGACGGUAGCUGGAUAAGAAGCGCCGGCUAACUACGUG